Long non-coding RNA from Betta splendens (Siamese fighting fish), 1460 nucleotides. RefSeq lists it as uncharacterized. The transcript has 3 exons. Lineage: Eukaryota; Metazoa; Chordata; Actinopteri; Anabantiformes; Osphronemidae. The record is from RefSeq and is a predicted model, not a curated record.
AGCGGAGUUUGCGGCGUGGCUGCUUUUUUCCGUGUGUUCAUUCACACAUAGCUGCCAGUUGCACAACGCGUCAACCCCACAACUGCCCCGUCCUCGCCCUCCACCCGGCAAAUCGCAGCAGAAGGAAUUCGCUGGUUGAUUGCGAGCGCUGGCAGAGCGUGUUGCAGCAGGUGAGGACAGGGGUUGUUGUUCAGGGGAAUUAAUUUGUAGCUUCGCUCUCUCUCUCUCUCUCUCUCUGUGAAGGUGACGGCCGCUGCCUCGUCCGUCUCAGACGCUCCUCCGGUCGCGUCCCCGUCUUCCAGUAAUCACAGGCAUGACUGUGAAACGGUGUAAUUUAACGUCAUUUUAAUCCGUGUUUAAAUCUCCCCUAUGACUGUUAUCACUGCAAACAGCGUCCUCCACUCAUUGUUUGGGAAUCCCGGACAGCUGUUGACAGCUGUUUUGGCAUCUCGACGCGUACUGUAGCUGUUGUGAGGUAAACAGUGCGGUGAUGUGGGAGGAAGCGGGUUCGAUGUCGGGUUUAAGGGGUUCGUGUAAAAAGGCUUUCUCAUUAUUGAGGAUAAAACAUGCUCAUUACAGGUUGUUGGUCCUGCUGUCAUGAGGCCUCCUCUGUGUUUAAUGGUCUGGAAAGGGGAAACCGGCUGUGACCUCUGCUCCUCACGUCAGCUCCUCAGGGUUCUGAUCCGUUCCUCACAGAGAAGGCGCUGCAGCCGGGCUUCACUGAGCUGGGUACACUUCAUGUUACAUAAGGCUGCAGCCGACUGGGUGCUCUGACACGUACCAGCGUUGGGUGCACACCCAGUGCAGCCUGAUCCCGGUGUUCCUGCUGCUGCACGAGCAGAUCCGCUCGGAUCGUUCCUCGCGCCGCGGGUGUCGCGGAGUUUCACCCGGCGGACGUCUGAUGUCUGAACGCCCUCGGUGUCGCUGCAGCAGCACAUCUGGAUCCUCCUCGUCCCCUCGGUUCAAUCUGACUGCUUCGGGACGUCGGCUCCAUCCUGACAGCUGUGCUGAUCCUGCAGAUAAGGAGCGGAGCGACCGGCGCCACGGACCGGGUGGAACCACAGCAGCUGGGACCCUUCCUGCUGCAGGUCUGUCAGGUCUGGGUCUGUCUGUCAUCUCCGCUCCCUGGUCGUCGCGUAGCUGCCAGAGCCGACCUGCUGUGCCUUCAUUUGAGUCAACCCAGCUGUUCUACGUAUGUGAUGUCAGGUAUAUUAGCAUUGAUGAGGAGCAUCUACAUGGAGCUGAAAUGGUCAUUAAAGAAUAAUGCAGUCACACGUACUGUAAAUAUCUGUACAUGUUUUGGGCCAUUUUUGGUCUUUGUGGUCAUUUUGUCUCUUCUCAUAAACUCAAUACAUUUUAUCACUGAUAAAGUAACAAGAAAAAGUAAAUGCAGCUGAUUUAGAAUGCAUUGAGAGAUGAUUGGACUCAACGACGUUUCCAAGGGCAACACUGAUGCUAGA